GGUUGCAGUGAGCCAAGACCAUGCCAUUGUACUCCAGUCUGGGUGACAGAGCAAGACCCCACCCAUCUUAAAAAAAAAAAAAAGAAAAAAAGAUUUAGCGUAUGUUAUUUCUCACUGGCUUCCCUCUCCCGAUGAGACCCGCCACCUUUCACACAGUCUCACACAGUUUAUACUUCUCCUUUAUACCACACAGCAUCGUGUAGUGGUUACAAGUGUGGACUCUGAAGUCGAAAUGCCUACAUUCAAAUCUUGGCUCUGCCACUCACUGGCUGUGUGCCAUUAGGAACAAGAAUAGACACACCCAGAUUGGAGGACAGUCCACAGGAUCCCUGGUCAAUGCUCACUCAAGACUGUCAAGGUCAUGGACAACAAAGAAAGACUGGCAAAACUGUCACAAGCUAAAGAAGACAGGGUGGAUAUGAUAACGAGAUGCACUGUGGUGUUCUGGAUUCGUCCUGGAACAAGAAAGAAACACCGAUUGAAAAGCUGAUGAAAUCCAAGUCAAGUCAGGAGGUUGAUUAGGAGUAAUGUACUCAUGUCGGUUUCUUGGUUGUAACGAAUGUAUCAUGAUAAUGUUAGGUUUUAACAAUGGGGGAAGUGGGGUGAGAGGUAUACUACCCUUGCAACGUUUCUGUAAAUCUAAAAAUAUUUCAAAAUUAAAAGUAUUUAAAAAGUA
Molecule: non-coding RNA, 676 nt
Organism: Callithrix jacchus (white-tufted-ear marmoset)
Lineage: Eukaryota; Metazoa; Chordata; Mammalia; Primates; Cebidae
Source: RefSeq, a predicted model, not a curated record